AUACGGAGGGUGCAAGCGUUAUUCGGAAUCACUGGGCGUAAAGGACGCGUAGGCGGGUUGGCAAGUCAGAUGUGAAAUCCUACAGCUUAACUGUAGAACUGCAUUUGAAACUGCUAACCUAGAGUAUGGGAGGGGGAGAUGGAAUUAGUGGUGUAGGGGUAAAAUCCGUAGAUAUCACUAGGAAUACCGAAAGCGAAGGCGAUCUCCUGGAACGUAACUGACGCUAAGGCGUGAAAGCGUGGGGAGCAAACAGGAUUAGAAACCCUAGUAGUCC
RNAcentral lists this ribosomal RNA (274 nucleotides) under uncultured bacterium. Its description in RNAcentral is "partial 16S ribosomal RNA". It matches the Rfam family "Bacterial small subunit ribosomal RNA", at positions 523 to 796 of the family's 1533-position model. The record is from RNAcentral.